Molecule: long non-coding RNA, 405 nt
Organism: Xenopus tropicalis (tropical clawed frog)
Lineage: Eukaryota; Metazoa; Chordata; Amphibia; Anura; Pipidae
Exons: 3
Source: RefSeq, a predicted model, not a curated record
UGAGUUUGCUUUAUGCUCCUCAAUAUGAUACAUUUUUCUCUUUGCAGCUGCUGAAAAAAGAUGCCAGACUUCGCCUCGGGUCACAUGAAACAGACGCUAAAGAAGUCAUGGAAAGCUCUUUAUUCAGGGGAUUUAACUGGGACGCCCUUCUGAGCCAAGAAAUGCAGGCGCCAUUCACUCCUCAAAUAAGUGUUCCAGAGCGAGUGGAGUUAGUAAGGCUUCGCUUACCGGGCGCUGGUGUCCCAGCAGAACGACCCCACAGGACCCCAUUUGAAGAGGCAUUAGAACAGUUGAAUUGUCCUGCUCUUCUGCCUUGAAAACUGGGUUCCUGUGAAUUCUUUAGUCCAGAGAUCCCCAGCUGACUAAUAAUGACCCGAUCUUCUCGGAGGAAGAAGACGUUCAAAG